RNAcentral lists this ribosomal RNA (324 nucleotides) under uncultured eukaryote. RNAcentral's name for it is "partial 18S ribosomal RNA". It matches the Rfam family "Eukaryotic small subunit ribosomal RNA", at positions 1470 to 1796 of the family's 1831-position model. The record is from RNAcentral.
CCCUUAGACGUUCUGGGCCGCACGCGCGCUACACUGACCAGUGCAACAAGCAUCCGUCCUUGGCCGACAGGCCCGGGCAAUCUUUGAACGCUGGUCGUGAUGGGGAUAGACUUUUGCAAUUUUUGGUCUUCAACGAGGAAUUCCUAGUAAACGCAAGUCAUCAACUUGCAUUGAUUACGUCCCUGCCCUUUGUACACACCGCCCGUCGCACCUACCGAUUGAAUGGUCCGGUGAAGCCUCCGGAUUGUGACUGUUGCCUUCAUUGGUGUCGGUUGCGAGAACUUGUCUAAACCUUAUCAUCUAGAGGAAGGUGAAGUCGUAACA